Long non-coding RNA from Micropterus dolomieu (smallmouth bass), 463 nucleotides. RefSeq lists it as uncharacterized. Lineage: Eukaryota; Metazoa; Chordata; Actinopteri; Centrarchiformes; Centrarchidae. The transcript has 3 exons. The record is from RefSeq and is a predicted model, not a curated record.
CUUGGCUUUUGGAUUGUUCCUUUGUUUUUUAUUUUAUUUCUCUGCUCUUUUGGGUUUACAUUUGUUUUGGACUCCUGCCUGCUGUGCUAAUUUAGUUUAGUUAAUUAAUCUCUGAAACUGCUCCUGCUCAUCUCCUGUGUCCUGCAUUUGGGUCCACACCUCCGUUACCUGCCUCUGCGCCUUGACAAAUGACCAUAGAAUCUCCUUGAAAUGGCACGGCAGCCAUUGCCGACCCGAGGAGAUUUGCAAUUCAGAUUCAAAUCAUCUUGAUGCAUUGCCGAUCACCUGUCGAGGGACUUGCUACUUUCUGAUCUUGAUCUUACAACUUUAUUUUACCUCUAAAGACCACUGAGGUGUCCUCAUUUACAAUGGUGUCAAGAUGCUAAAUAAUGCAAAAUAGUUUACAGUAAAAACAGUAACAGAGUUACAAUGUAGUGUACAAAGUUAAGAAACAAGAUAAUAA